RNAcentral lists this ribosomal RNA (164 nucleotides) under Chloris truncata. RNAcentral describes it as "5.8S ribosomal RNA". It matches the Rfam family "5.8S ribosomal RNA". Rfam says of the family: 5.8S ribosomal RNA (5.8S rRNA) is a component of the large subunit of the eukaryotic ribosome. Lineage: Eukaryota; Viridiplantae; Streptophyta; Magnoliopsida; Poales; Poaceae. The record is from RNAcentral.
CACAUGACUCUCGGCAACGGAUAUCUUGGCUCUCGCAUCGAUGAAGAACGUAGCAAACUGCGAUACCUGGUGUGAAUUGCAGAAUCCCGUGAACCAUCGAGUUUUUGAACGCAAGUUGCGCCUAAGGCCUUUUGGCCAAGGGCACGUCUGCCUGGGCGUCACGC